CUACGGGGGGCUGCAGUGAGGAAUUUUGCGCAAUGGGGGAAACCCUGACGCAGCAACGCCGCGUGAGUGAAGAAGGCCUUUGGGUCGUAAAGCUCUGUCGACAGGGAAGAAGUUACUGUACAUUAAUAGGGUAUGGUAUUGACGGUACCUGUGGAGGAAGCAUCGGCUAACUCCGUGCCAGCAGCCGCGGUAAUACGGGGGAUGCAAGCGUUAUUCGGAAUUAUUGGGCGUAAAGGGCACGCAGGCGGCCUUGUCAGUCAGAUGUGAAAGCCCGGGGCUCAACCCCGGACGUGCAUUUGAAACAGCAAGGCUUGAGUACGGUAGAGGGAAGGGGAAUUCCUGGUGUAGAGGUGAAAUUCGUAGAUAUCAGGAGGAACACCGGUGGCGAAGGCGCCUUCCUGGGCCUGUACUGACGCUGAGGUGCGAAGGCGUGGGUAGCGAACAGGAUUAGAUACCCUGGUAGUC
This 465-nucleotide ribosomal RNA is filed under the name uncultured bacterium. Its description in RNAcentral is "partial 16S ribosomal RNA". It matches the Rfam family "Bacterial small subunit ribosomal RNA", at positions 339 to 795 of the family's 1533-position model. The record is from RNAcentral.